Molecule: long non-coding RNA, 513 nt
Organism: Adelges cooleyi (spruce gall adelgid)
Lineage: Eukaryota; Metazoa; Arthropoda; Insecta; Hemiptera; Adelgidae
Exons: 3
Source: RefSeq, a predicted model, not a curated record
UGUUAAUACACUCGUGUGUAUUUCUUUUCGAAAACCAUUUUUUCCGCGAAAUUCACUUAGGUUUUUGGUGUGUACCAACACGUUUAUGAAAAAUAUUCUACUGUUCAUGUUUCAUUUGUCAUUUGAUAAGUGUUGGUCGUUCUCUUUCAAAUACCUGCGCUUGCACUAAAAACGACAACAAUAUGAGUGUACUUCAAUUGCGAUCAAGAACUGUACACAAUUUGGCAAAUGAUUACGUGGCACUUAACGUCGAAUCGUACAAUGAAAAAAAAAAAUCUAUUAAACUCUUCAGCCUAUGCAAUUGGGCGUUUUACAAAAAGAUGUCGUCCUUUAAGAAAUGGAUUUUGUGCAUGUUUUUAAUCAUAACGUUGGGCAUAUCAGUAUACUUUUUAUUGUUUCACAAAUAUAAAACUUUAAAUAUACGACCCCCCACUUAUGUUAAGCUAUAACAAGUAAAACAUACAUUGUCUAUUUUGUUUGAGAUUUUAUUUAAAAUAAACUUUAACACAAUUA